Molecule: non-coding RNA, 551 nt
Organism: Agelaius phoeniceus (red-winged blackbird)
Lineage: Eukaryota; Metazoa; Chordata; Aves; Passeriformes; Icteridae
Source: RefSeq, a predicted model, not a curated record
UUCCCGGUUCCCGUCCCAGCCCCGUUUCUUCGGCCAAUCGCUGAGCGGGGGGCGGGACCUGAGUGGGGACGACCUCCCCGACCUGGCCGUGGGCGCGCAGGGACAGGUGCUGCUGCUCAGGUCGCCGCCGCUGCUCGGGGUCAGGCUCCAGGUGACCUUUGACCCCCAGGUGAUCCCGGCCCGGGAGUGCCCGGAGGGGGCGGAGCUUCGGGACCGGCUGGGCGUGGCCCGGCUCUGCUUCCGGGGUCAGCAAGGACACGCCCGACUCCUUCGGUUCCUCGGUUUCGGCCUCGCUGUGGUUCCGGGCCGAGCUGGAUCCCGGCCGCGCUCGCGUCCGCGCCGAUUUUGGGGCCGAAAACGCCAAAAAUGGGACCCUGAGGGUGGGGGUGGGGCAGCACUGCCAGGACCUGGAGAUUUUCUACAAGGGCUGCCCCCAGGACACGCUGACCCCCCUGGCCCUGAGGGUGACCCUGGGCGGCCUCGGGGACCCCUUGGGUGAGGCCGGGGGGCUCCGGCCACAGCUCGGCCCCGCCUCGGACACCGCGGUGACG